UUGCUAUCUGCAUAUUUUACGAUUCGAACCUGCAGCAGGUUUGGGUCGAGCCAUUCUGGCGAGACAACGGCGCCGUUUACGGCGACGGCCCGAAGGGCGAGGCGAAGCCGAGUCAUCCUGCACGACCCACCA
This 132-nucleotide small RNA is filed under the name Siccibacter colletis. RNAcentral's name for it is "RtT sRNA". It matches the Rfam family "RtT RNA". From Rfam's summary of the family: This family represents a bacterial cis-regulatory element known as RtT RNA. The exact function of RtT is unknown although it is thought that it may be involved in changing the cellular response in relation to amino acid starvation. Lineage: Bacteria; Pseudomonadati; Pseudomonadota; Gammaproteobacteria; Enterobacterales; Enterobacteriaceae. The record is from RNAcentral.